AAAGGAAUUGACGGGGGCCCGCACAAGUGGUGGAGCAUGUGGUUUAAUUCGAUGAUACGCGAGGAACCUUACCCGGGCUAGAAUGUUAGCGGAGGGCUCCGAAAGGGGUCCGUCCUUCGGGACGCGAAACAAGGUGCUGCAUGGUUGUCGUCAGCUCGUGCCGUGAGGUGUUGGGUUAAGUCCCGCAACGAGCGCAACCCCUGUUUCCAGUUGCCAGCACGUCAAGGUGGGGACUCUGGAGAGACUGCCUCCGCAAGGAGCGAGGAAGGUGGGGAUGACGUCAAAUCAUCAUGGCCCUUACGCCCGGGGCCACACACGUGCUACAAUGGACGGUACAGCGGGAAGCGGGGGGGUGACCCCGAGCGGAUCCCACAAAGCCGUUCCCAGUUCGGAUCGGAGUCUGCAACCCGACUCCGUGAAGCUGGAAUCACUAGUAAUCGCGGAUCAGCCAUGCCGCGGUGAAUACGUUCCCGGGCCUUGUACACACCGCCCGU
This 494-nucleotide ribosomal RNA is filed under the name uncultured bacterium. RNAcentral describes it as "bacterial SSU rRNA". It matches the Rfam family "Bacterial small subunit ribosomal RNA", at positions 903 to 1397 of the family's 1533-position model. The record is from RNAcentral.